This is a long non-coding RNA of Hemicordylus capensis (graceful crag lizard), 978 nucleotides long. RefSeq lists it as uncharacterized. The record is from RefSeq and is a predicted model, not a curated record. The transcript is spliced from 3 exons. Lineage: Eukaryota; Metazoa; Chordata; Lepidosauria; Squamata; Cordylidae.
AAUCCCUAAAGAAAAAAAAGAUACAAUUAAGCUGUUAAGACAAGCCAGAAGUGCAUUUAUUUAAAAGUCACAAAAAUUAAUGAGCAGCUUGAAAUGUUGGACAAGACCGUUUGCUUUCCUGUUACAAUUGGCAGAACUGAAUAUGAAUACGUUAAGAAUAUGGACCUGGGUCCAAAGAACUGUGAAACUACCUCCAUGGACCCAGAAAGGCUUCCCCAAUGCAUGUGAAAAUGAAGGGGCUUUCAAAGUACUCCGCAGUGUGGCAUGUGGAUCUGUCAUUUAAAGAGUGGAAGGAGAGGCAGAAGGCCCACAGUGGAAGAGGAAUUCACAGCAUGGUGAUGUCAUGUCACAUAUUUUGAAUGGCUGACCAGACAUUACCAGGGGAGAGAGGAGACGAUGAUGUGGAGCUGCUGCUUUCAGGAUAUACUUUAUACUGUACACAAAGGACAAAGCAGAGAGAAAACAUGGGCACCUGAAUGGAUCUAAUGAGGCUUUUAUGAACGAGACCGUACACCAUCAAAUGUCAGUUAAGUCUCUGAGGUACCAUGGCACUAUUUUCUACUAAAAAGAAAAAGAAAUUUUCAGCUUUCAAGUCUGCUUGUAUGGAUUUGCCUCUGGUUUUAAAUAUUAAGACAAAGACAGUAAAUUUAGAAGUCAUCCAUCUGUACUUUGAAAAUAAACAACUGACUAUUUGAAGGCAUACCUGAAUUAUGAUAAGGAGACAAAUUCCAGCCCCCAUUUCUGCAGGAUCACCAUACAUCCCAGUCAUGACAUACACAAUUGCCUGCCCAAUGGUAAUAAUCAUUCCAAACACUGAAACAAAUAAGAAAGACAUUCCCCAUUUAUAUAUGAUUUACUACACACAAGAUAAUCUAGACUCCAAUACUACAUACUGAUUAACUAGGGGAAAAGGAGGAUUCUCAUGGCAUGCAAAUUUUGCUCACGCUUCUGAGCGCCAUUGAAUAGGGCUCUGUCUUU